UGGGGAAUAUUGCACAAUGGAGGGAACUCUGAUGCAGCGACGCCGCGUGAACGAAGAAGGCUUUUGAGUCGUAAAGUUCUUUUAUAUGGGAAGAUAAUGACGGUACCAUAAGAAAAAGCCCCGGCUAACUACGUGCCAGCAGCCGCGGUAAUACGUAGGGGGCUAGCGUUGUCCGGAAUCACUGGGCGUAAAGGGUUCGCAGGCGGAAAUGCAAGUCAGGUGUAAAAGGCAGUAGCUUAACUACUGUAAGCAUUUGAAACUGCAUAUCUUGAGAAGAGUAGAGGUAAGUGGAAUUUUUAGUGUAGCGGUGAAAUGCGUAGAUAUUAAAAAGAAUACCGGUGGCGAAGGCGGCUUACUGGGCUCAUUCUGACGCUGAGGAACGAAAGCGUGGGUAGCAAACAGG
RNAcentral lists this ribosomal RNA (403 nucleotides) under bacterium. Its description in RNAcentral is "partial 16S ribosomal RNA". It matches the Rfam family "Bacterial small subunit ribosomal RNA", at positions 355 to 776 of the family's 1533-position model. The record is from RNAcentral.